This 70-nucleotide transfer RNA is filed under the name Gymnothorax kolpos (blacktail moray). Its description in RNAcentral is "tRNA-Arg". It matches the Rfam family "tRNA". Rfam says of the family: Transfer RNA (tRNA) molecules are approximately 80 nucleotides in length. Their secondary structure includes four short double-helical elements and three loops (D, anti-codon, and T loops). Lineage: Eukaryota; Metazoa; Chordata; Actinopteri; Anguilliformes; Muraenidae. The record is from RNAcentral.
AGACGAUUAGUCUAAAGAAAGACCGCUGAUUUCGGCUUAGCAGAACGUGGUUCAAAUCCAUGAUCGUCUU